UUUUCUAUUUGACCCUGGUAGAAAGUAGAAAUGUGAUUAGUAGGGCUA
This 48-nucleotide ribosomal RNA is filed under the name Schistosoma mansoni. RNAcentral's name for it is "partial 12S ribosomal RNA". Lineage: Eukaryota; Metazoa; Platyhelminthes; Trematoda; Strigeidida; Schistosomatidae. The record is from RNAcentral.